Gasterosteus aculeatus (three-spined stickleback) is the source of this 122-nucleotide non-coding RNA. Lineage: Eukaryota; Metazoa; Chordata; Actinopteri; Perciformes; Gasterosteidae. The record is from Rfam.
CCUGUUGAGCUUGACCCAAGCUUGAAGAAAUUUAAUGAAGCGCGGGUAAACGGCGGGAGUAACUAUGACUCUCUUAAGGUAACCAAAUGCCUCGUCAUCUAAUUAGUGACGCGCAUGAAUGG